AUACUUACCUGGCAGGGGAGAUACCAGGAUCAUGAAGGUGGUUUUCCCAGGGAGAGGCUUAUCCAUUGCACUCUGCAUGUGCUGACCCCUGCGAUUUCUGCAAAUGCGAAAAACUCGACCGCAUAGUUUGUGGUAGUGGGUUACUGAGUUCGCACUUUCCCUUG
RNAcentral lists this small nuclear RNA (164 nucleotides) under Octodon degus (degu). RNAcentral's name for it is "U1 spliceosomal RNA (ENSODEG00000022097.1)". It matches the Rfam family "U1 spliceosomal RNA". Rfam says of the family: U1 is a small nuclear RNA (snRNA) component of the spliceosome (involved in pre-mRNA splicing). Its 5' end forms complementary base pairs with the 5' splice junction, thus defining the 5' donor site of an intron. Lineage: Eukaryota; Metazoa; Chordata; Mammalia; Rodentia; Octodontidae. The record is from Rfam by way of RNAcentral.